AAUUGCAGGUCUGAGGCACUUGGCCAUGGUAUGAUAAAUUGCAGGUCUGAGGUACUUGGCCAUGGUAUGAUAAAUUGCAGGUCUGAGGUACUUGGCCAUGGUAUGAUAAAUUGCAGGUCUGAGGUACUUGGCCAUGGUAUGAUAAAUUGCAGGUCUGAGGUACUUGGCCAUGGUAUGAUAAAUUGCAGGUCUAAGGUACUUGGCCAUGGUAUGAUAAAUUGCAGGUCUAAGGCACUUGGCCAUGGUAUGAUAAAUUGCAGGUCUGAGGUACUUGGCCAUGGUAUGAAAAGUUGCAGGUAUGAGAUACUUGGCCAUGGUAUGAUAAAUUGCAGGUCUAAGGCACUUGGCCAUGGUAUGAUAAAUUGCAGGUCUAAGGUACAUGGCCAUGGUAUGAUAAAUUGCAGGUCUAAGGCACUUGGCCAUGGUGUGAUAG
Molecule: unclassified non-coding RNA, 433 nt
Filed under: Haliotis rubra (blacklip abalone)
Lineage: Eukaryota; Metazoa; Mollusca; Gastropoda; Lepetellida; Haliotidae
Description: protein RD3-like, transcript variant X13
Source: RNAcentral